GUUCUACCUUGACGAAUCGUAGUUUAAAGAAGUGUUUUCUGUUAGAGGAGUAGCAAAAGUUCCUUGGAAUGGGACAUCAUAGAGGGUGAGAAUCCCGUAUUUGGUUACUUUUUCUAGCUUUGUGAUACACUUUCAAAGAGUCGGAUUGUUUGGGAAUGCAGUCCAAAAUGGGUGGUAAAUUUCAUCUAAAGCUAAAUAUUGGCGAGAGACCGAUAGCGAACAAGUACCGUGAGGGAAAGAUGAAAAGAACUUUGAAAAGAGAGUUAAACAGUACGUGAAAUUGUCAAAAGGGAAGCGUUUGACACCAGUGUUGUUUUUCCGAAAAUCAAUUAAGAACGGCUUGAUUUUGUGUUGUAUUGACCUUAUCAGCUUUCUUCACUCUUUUUCGAGUCUUUCUU
This 398-nucleotide ribosomal RNA is filed under the name uncultured Neocallimastigomycetes. RNAcentral's name for it is "eukaryotic LSU rRNA". It matches the Rfam family "Eukaryotic large subunit ribosomal RNA", at positions 127 to 522 of the family's 3401-position model. Lineage: Eukaryota; Fungi; Neocallimastigomycota; Neocallimastigomycetes. The record is from RNAcentral.